Non-coding RNA from Branchiostoma floridae (Florida lancelet), 73 nucleotides. The record is from Rfam. NCBI's taxonomy places the organism in Eukaryota, Metazoa, Chordata, Leptocardii, Amphioxiformes, Branchiostomatidae.
CAGGUAGACCUACAUAGGCUGAUUGCGUGCCAGUAUUCACUCGGCGAGCCACGGCCUAGUGGGUUCUUUAUAU